CUUAACUUCGGGAUUGCCAUUGAAACUGUCACUCUUGAGUGCAGUCGGAGACGGUGGAAUGAGUUAUGUAGCGGUGAAAUGCAUAGAUAUAACUCAGAACACCGAUCGCGAAGGCAGCUGUCUAGACUGCUACUGACGCUGAGGCACGAAAGCGUGGGGAGCAAACAGGAUUAGAUACCCUGGUAGUCCACGCCGUAAACGUUGAUCACUCGUUGUUGGCAAUACGCCGUCAGCGACUAAGCAAAAGCAUUAAGUGAUCCACCUGGGGAGUACGAUCGCAAGGUUGAAACUCAAAGGAAUUGACGGGGGCCCGCACAAGCGGAGGAGCAUGUGGUUUAAUUCGAUGAUACGCGAGGAACCUUACCCGGGCUUAAAUGUAGCGUGCAUUCCCGAGAAAUCGGGAUUUCCUUCGGGACUC
Molecule: ribosomal RNA, 418 nt
Filed under: uncultured Bacteroidota bacterium
Lineage: Bacteria; Pseudomonadati; Bacteroidota
Description: bacterial SSU rRNA
Rfam family: Bacterial small subunit ribosomal RNA
Source: RNAcentral